Molecule: ribosomal RNA, 780 nt
Filed under: uncultured bacterium
Lineage: Bacteria
Description: bacterial SSU rRNA
Rfam family: Bacterial small subunit ribosomal RNA
Source: RNAcentral
AGAGUUUGAUCAUGGCUCAGGACGAACGCUGGCGGCGUGCCUAACACAUGCAAGUCGAACGCUGUCCAUUCGGUGGCAACACUGAUGAAGACGGAGUGGCGAACGGGUGAGUAGCACGUGAGCAACCUGCCCCGAAGACCGGGACAACACCGGGAAACCGGUGCUAAUACCGGAUGCCCCCACCGGGCCGCAUGACCUGGUGAGGAAAUGGAUUCCGCUUCGGGAGGGGCUCGCGGCCUAUCAGCUAGUUGGUGGGGUAACGGCCUACCAAGGCGUCGACGGGUAGCUGGUCUGAGAGGACGAUCAGCCACACUGGGACUGAGACACGGCCCAGACUCCUACGGGAGGCAGCAGUGGGGAAUCUUGCGCAAUGGGCGAAAGCCUGACGCAGCAACGCCGCGUGAGGGACGAAGGCUUUCUGAGUUGUAAACCUCUUUCAGCAGGAACGAUAGUGACGGUACCUGCAGAAGAAGCACCGGCCAACUACGUGCCAGCAGCCGCGGUGAUACGUAGGGUGCAAGCGUUGUCCGGAUUUAUUGGGCGUAAAGAGCUCGUAGGCGGUUUGAUAAGUCGGAUGUGAAACCCCCAGGCUUAACCUGGGGCCGCCAUUCGAUACUGUCAUGGCUAGAGUCCGGUAGGGGACCAUGGAAUUCCUGGUGUAGCGGUGAAAUGCGCAGAUAUCAGGAGGAACACCAGUGGCGAAGGCGGUGGUCUGGGCCGGUACUGACGCUGAGGAGCGAAAGCGUGGGGAGCGAACAGGAUUAGAUACCCCAGUAGUCC